AACGAACGCUGGCGGCAUGCCUAACACAUGCAAGUCGAACGAGAUCCUUCGGGGUCUAGUGGCGCACGGGUGCGUAACGCGUGGGAAUCUGCCCUUAGGUUCGGAAUAACAGUUAGAAAUGACUGCUAAUACCGGAUGAUGACGUUAAGUCCAAAGAUUUAUCGCCUGAGGAUGAGCCCGCGUAGGAUUAGCUAGUUGGUGUGGUAAAGGCGCACCAAGGCGACGAUCCUUAGCUGGUCUGAGAGGAUGAUCAGCCACACUGGGACUGAGACACGGCCCAGACUCCUACGGUAGGCAGCAGUGGGGAAUAUUGGACAAUGGGCGCAAGCCUGAUCCAGCAAUGCCGCGUGAGUGAUGAAGGCCUUAGGGUUGUAAAGCUCUUUUACCCGGGAUGAUAAUGACAGUACCGGGAGAAUAAGCCCCGGCUAACUCCGUG
Molecule: ribosomal RNA, 436 nt
Filed under: uncultured bacterium
Lineage: Bacteria
Description: partial 16S ribosomal RNA
Rfam family: Bacterial small subunit ribosomal RNA
Source: RNAcentral